Molecule: transfer RNA, 72 nt
Filed under: Camelus bactrianus (Bactrian camel)
Lineage: Eukaryota; Metazoa; Chordata; Mammalia; Artiodactyla; Camelidae
Also listed under: 3 other names
Rfam family: tRNA
About the family: Transfer RNA (tRNA) molecules are approximately 80 nucleotides in length. Their secondary structure includes four short double-helical elements and three loops (D, anti-codon, and T loops).
Source: Rfam by way of RNAcentral
GAGGGUAUAGCUCAGUGGUAGAUUGCAUGCUUAGCAUGCACGAGGUCCUGGGUUCAAUCCCCAGUGCCUCCA